AAUAGAUACCCUGGUAGUCCGCACCGUAAACGAUGGAUACUAGGCGUUCGGAGAGUUAACCCUCUGAGUGCCAAAGUUCACACAUUAAGUAUCCCGCCUGGGAAGUACGGUCGCAAGACUAAAACUCAAAGGAAUUGACGGGGGCCCGCACAAGCGGUGGAGUAUGUGGUUUAAUUCGAAGCAACGCGCAGAACCUUACCUGGCCUUGACAUCGUGAGACCGGUGCAGAGAUGUACCUUUGGCUUCGGCCACUCAUAGACAGGUGCUGCAUGGCUGUCGUCAGCUCGUGUUGUGAAAUGUUCGGUUAAGUCCCGCAACGAGCGCAACCCUUGUCCUAUGUUGCCAGCGGUUCGGCCGGGGACUCAUAGGAGACUGCCGGGGAGUAACUCGGAGGAAGGUGAGGACGACGUCAAGUCAUCAUGCCCCUUAUAUCCAGGGCUGCACGCAUGCUACAAUGGCCGGUACAACGGGCAGCGACCCCGCGAGGGUGAGCGAAUCCUAAAAGCCGGUCCUAGUUCGGAUUGAAGU
RNAcentral lists this ribosomal RNA (528 nucleotides) under uncultured bacterium. RNAcentral's name for it is "bacterial SSU rRNA". It matches the Rfam family "Bacterial small subunit ribosomal RNA", at positions 777 to 1304 of the family's 1533-position model. The record is from RNAcentral.